CAUUCAGAUUUGCUUGUAGCGCUCACUGACUUCUGGCUAGAAGGGAAUACAAGAAAUGCUGAAGAAAUCAUGCCAUUGAGAGGAGUGACCGUGUUAAGAUCUACCCAGAUCUCUGCACCCCUGCUCCUGGACUGUGUAGCCCUUCCUUCUCACUCUGCUCCUGCAGCAGUUCCAGGCUUUCCUGCUCUCCGGGUCCUAAUACAGUUACUGACCACUGCAUUUUUUCUGCAUGACUUGACAGUGUUGUCUUUGUUGGCUCUUCCCUGUGUGGAGGUAAGUUAAUAUCAAAGGGACAACAAUUAAAGAAAUAAUCACGGGUAGAUUUUUGCCUGAUGAUUGAAACCACAUUAUUUGCCUUAAUUUCUGCUGGAGCAAGGCUUUGAAUCUCAAGCAGAGGCCAGCAGCUGGCACAGGGUUGAUGACCAGAAGAAGGCUUGCUGAGCCAGUGUACAGACAGUGUCUUCAGGCCUGUAUG
Molecule: long non-coding RNA, 475 nt
Filed under: Manacus vitellinus (golden-collared manakin)
Lineage: Eukaryota; Metazoa; Chordata; Aves; Passeriformes; Pipridae
Description: lncRNA (ENSMVIG00005009668.1)
Source: RNAcentral